Molecule: long non-coding RNA, 1602 nt
Organism: Uloborus diversus
Lineage: Eukaryota; Metazoa; Arthropoda; Arachnida; Araneae; Uloboridae
Exons: 5
Source: RefSeq, a predicted model, not a curated record
AGCUUCGUCGUCAGCAAGAAUUUGCAAAGCAGUUGGAAGAAUUCCAAAAAAGAGAUGCUGAGCUGAGGAAACGGAAGUCUACUGAAGUUCAUUCUCAUGGCGAAAAUGGAUACUCAAAUAGUGAAUCCCUGCAGAAGAGGCGCAGUCCAUCCCCUCCCGUUCCUGCAGUCAGGACAAAAGAGCUGAUGGAACGUACGAUCACCCCCAUACAGUCCCUGGCUCAAGUAAAACCAGAGAAUCUGUUCAGUUCUUUGGCAGAAAUUAGAAGACAAAUUCUGCAAAACCAAGAUAAAAAGCAAACAAAUGCUUCCUAUAAAGUGAUGAAUCGUCGGACAGUGGCAGAUGUUGAUGACGAAUCCGACGAAGAGGCCGUAUCUUAUUCCCGAGUGCCUUCAGUUGCAGAGUAAAUGAAUUUCAGUGCAAAAACAACAGGGACUAUAGUUUUGCAAUCAUGUGUGAUCUCAAGCUUCACAAGUGUUCUGUUUUGGUGUUGGAGUUUAUUGCAUGUAUUCUAAUGUAAUUUAUAUUGUAUUUUUUCCUGUCCAAAAAAUACUUUUAAAAUUGAUAAAUCCUUGUAUAUAAUGCAAUCAAAUGUUUUGUUACAAAUCUCGAAUGAAAGGAGAGAAUAAGAAAUUAAUAACUUACCUGCAUGCAGAAGCAAUUAAUGAGGAAAGCAACAUCUUAAGCACAAUUGAAAGAUGUUGCUGACUUUUAUAUGAUUACAAGUAACACUUUUAUUGAUGCAUUAAGUGUCGAGCUGUAAGAGCUAAUUUGAGUGCAACUCCACUUAAUCAUUAAACUCUUGAAUCUGACAAUUUUUUUGCAGUUAUGAAAGGGUUUCUUUAAAUUUUAAAACACAUAAAUGCAAUAUUUUAUGCUAUAAAAUGUUGAUUCUCUCAUCAAUUCUAUUUUCAAGUUUCAAAGUUCAUUUAUAUAAUGUAAUCAAAUGUCUUGUUAAAAAUUUGAGCAAGAAUAAAGAAUGUUAAUAUUACCCACACAGUUAAAAUAUAUAAAGUACAAUAAACAAUUUAUAUGCACGCCAAAAGAAGGAACUUGUACCUUAAAAAUAUUGACGUAAAAAAGUUUGUUGAAAGUUUUUAAAAUUGAUUUUAUCAAAAUUUUAAUCAAAAUUUAGUAAAAUUAAUAUUUAUUUUGUAUGUUUGUUUAGCUAAUUUAUUUUUAUUAUUAUUACUACUGAAGAUUUAGGUAAAAUAUUCUUUAUCUAUGUAUAUAUUUUUCAGUAUAUUUUUCAUCUUAUAACUUGUACUACUGUAAAUUUAUUUGAGUAACCAACCAAAAAGUAGACUUCCAAUUGCAAUAUAUGCCUUCUGUAUUGUUCAAUAAAUAAUGGAAAGUGCCUGUUGUUAGAAAUUCAUUAUAAAAUGUUAUUAAAAAUCUAUACAAUUGCAGAACCAAUCAUACCUUAAAACUCACAAUAUAAAACUAACAAUGUGUUGAAAUUCCAUUUUCAAUUUUUCUGACUAAGCUUUUAUGGAUUUUUUAAAAUGAGGUUUUUAUUGUAACUACAUUACGUGAAUUUAUAUUCAUGCAAUAAUGUAUUUAUUGUGUAUUUUGUGUAAUAACUUUGUUUGACUAAGUAAA